This 253-nucleotide ribosomal RNA is filed under the name uncultured bacterium. RNAcentral's name for it is "partial 16S ribosomal RNA". It matches the Rfam family "Bacterial small subunit ribosomal RNA", at positions 524 to 776 of the family's 1533-position model. The record is from RNAcentral.
GACGAACCGUGCAAACGUUGUUCGGAAUCACUGGGCUUAAAGGGCGCGUAGGCGGGCCAGCCAGUCUGUGGUGAAAGCCUCCAGCUUAACUGGAGAAGUGCCGUGGAUACUGCUGGCCUCGAGGAGGAUAGGGGCAUCUGGAACGGUCGGUGGAGCGGUGAAAUGCGUUGAUAUCGACCGGAACUCCGGUGGCGAAGGCGAGGUGCUGGGUCCCUUCUGACGCUGAUGCGCGAAAGCCAGGGGAGCAAACGGG